CCUUGCCAGCCCGCUCAGAAACUCAAGGAAUUGACGGGGCCCGCACAAGCGGUGGAGUAUGUGGUUUAAUUCGAUGCAACGCGAAGAACCUUACCUGGUCUUGACAUCCCGGAGACCCUUAGGAAACUAGGGGGUGCUUCCAUCUGGAAGAAUCUGGAGACAGGUGCUGCAUGGCUGUCGUCAGCUCGUGUCGUGAGAUGUUGGGUUAAGUCCCGCAACGAGCGCAACCCUCGCCUUUAGUUGCCAGCAGUUCGGCUGGGCACUCUAAAGGGACUGCCGGUGUUAAACCGGAGGAAGGUGGGGAUGACGUCAAGUCCUCAUGGCCUUUAUGACCAGGGCUACACACGUACUACAAUGGCCGAUACAAAGGGCAGCGACACUGCGAGGUGAAGCCAAUCCCGUAAAAUCGGUCUCAGUCCGGAUUGGAGUCUGCAACUCGACUCCAUGAAGUUGGAAUCGCUAGUAAUCGUGGAUCAGCAUGCCACGGUGAAUACGUUCCCGGGCCUU
This 507-nucleotide ribosomal RNA is filed under the name uncultured Desulfobulbus sp. RNAcentral's name for it is "bacterial SSU rRNA". It matches the Rfam family "Bacterial small subunit ribosomal RNA", at positions 904 to 1382 of the family's 1533-position model. Lineage: Bacteria; Pseudomonadati; Thermodesulfobacteriota; Desulfobulbia; Desulfobulbales; Desulfobulbaceae. The record is from RNAcentral.